RNAcentral lists this ribosomal RNA (527 nucleotides) under uncultured Bacillota bacterium. Its description in RNAcentral is "bacterial SSU rRNA". It matches the Rfam family "Bacterial small subunit ribosomal RNA", at positions 353 to 896 of the family's 1533-position model. The record is from RNAcentral. Lineage: Bacteria; Bacillati; Bacillota.
AGUGGGGAAUAUUGGGCAAUGGGCGAGAGCCUGACCCAGCGACGCCGCGUGAGGGAUGACAGCCUUCGGGUUGUAAACCUCUGUUGUAUGGGAAGAAGGAAGUGACGGUACCAUACGAGGAAGCUCCGGCUAACUACGUGCCAGCAGCCGCGGUAAUACGUAGGGAGCGAGCGUUGUCCGGAAUUACUGGGCGUAAAGGGCACGCAGGCGGUCAUAUAAGUCAGCUGUUAAAUGUAUGGGCUUAACCGAUGCAUGCGGUUGAAACUGUAUGACUGGAGUACUGGAGAGGUAAGCGGAAUUCCCGGUGUAGCGGUGAAAUGCGUAGAUAUCGGGAAGAACACCAGUGGCGAAGGCGGCUUACUGGCCAGUUACUGACGCUGAGGUGCGAAAGCCAGGGGAGCGAACCGGAUUAGAUACCCGGGUAGUCCUGGCCGUAAACGAUGAAUGCUAGGUGUGGGUAUAGCGAUAUAUCCGUGCCGGAGUUAACGCGAUAAGCAUUCCGCCUGGGGAGUACGGUCGCAAGAUUG